This 442-nucleotide ribosomal RNA is filed under the name uncultured bacterium. RNAcentral describes it as "partial 16S ribosomal RNA". It matches the Rfam family "Bacterial small subunit ribosomal RNA", at positions 338 to 795 of the family's 1533-position model. The record is from RNAcentral.
CCUACGGGGGGCAGCAGUGGGGAAUAUUGGGCAAUGGGCGCAAGCCUGACCCAGCAACGCCGCGUGAAGGAAGAAGGCUUUCGGGUUGUAAACUUCUUUUGUCAGGGAAGAGUAGAAGACGAUACCUGACGAAUAAGCCACAGCUAACUACGUGCCAGCAGCCGCGGUAAUACGUAGGUGGCAAGCGUUGUCCGGAUUUACUGGGUGUAAAGGGCGUGUAGCCGGGUUGAAAAGUCAGAUGUGAAAUCCUGCGGCUUAACCGCAGAACUGCAUUUGAAACUGUUGAUCUUGAGUACUGGAGAGGCAGACGGAAUUCCUAGUGUAGCGGUGAAAUGCGUAGAUAUUAGGAGGAACACCAGUGGCGAAGGCGGUCUGCUGGACAGCAACUGACGGUGAGGCGCGAAAGCGUGGGGAGCAAACAGGAUUAGAUACCCUAGUAGUC